This 352-nucleotide transfer-messenger RNA is filed under the name Acidobacteriota bacterium. It matches the Rfam family "transfer-messenger RNA". Rfam says of the family: Bacterial tmRNA, also known as 10Sa RNA or SsrA, is named for its dual tRNA and mRNA-like properties. Lineage: Bacteria; Pseudomonadati; Acidobacteriota. The record is from RNAcentral.
GGGGGUGAUUGGCUUCGACUUCGGUAGUCGAUUCGGGAGAAGCGAGCCGUGGUCUCAGGAACCACGUUAAAGAGCCUGAACCAAUAAACAAACGCCGAGCCUCAGCUCGCACUGGCUGCCUAACUAGUAGCCCGUCCGUCCGGCCCCAGCCCUGCGGGUCGGGUACGGGCGUCAUUCAGUAGGGCUCACCCGGAGGCCUCGUCAGUGGGCCCUCGGGGAAAUCUCAGCUGACUAGGAACCCUCGCCGGUGCCGGUGGCGAGCGAGGGGUCCGAUAUCUGAUCACCGGCUGCGCUCGGAGAAGGCCUGUUGAGGCAUCGAAGGACGCGGGUUCGAUUCCCGCCACCUCCACCC